UGGCGAACGGGUGAGUAACACGUAGGUAACCAACCUCAGGGCGGGGGACAACCCCGAGAAAUCGGGGCUAAUACCGCAUAAGACCACGGGCUGGGAUGUCCGUGGUAAAAUCCCGAGCAAUCGGGAACCCUGGGACGGGCCUGCGGCCUAUCAGGUAGUUGGCGGGGUAACGGCCCACCAAGCCCGAGACGGGUAGCCGGUCUGAGAGGAUGGACGGCCACACUGGAACUGAGACACGGUCCAGACUCCUACGGGAGGCAGCAGUGGGGAAUUUUGCGCAAUGGGGGAAACCCUGACGCAGCGACGCCGCGUGGAGGAUGAAGGCCCUCGGGUUGUAAACUCCUUUUGUGAGGGAAAAUAAUGAUGGUACCUCGCGAAUAAGCCACGGCUAACUCUGUGCCAGCAGCCGCGGUAAGACAGAGGUGGCAAGCGUUGUUCGGAAUUACUGGGCUUAAAGGGCGUGUAGGCGGUAUGGCAAGUCUGAGGUGGAAUCCCGGGGCUUAACCCCGGAAUUGCCUUGGAAACUGCCUUACUUGAGUCAGUGAGGGGAGGGCGGAAUUCCCGGUGUAGCAGUGAAAUGCGUAGAUAUCGGGAGGAAGGCCGGUGGCGAAGGCGGCCCUCUGGUGCUUGACUGACGCUGAGGCGCUAAAGCGUGGGGAGCAAACAGGAUUAGAUACCCUGGUAGUCCACGCCCUAAACGGUGGGCAUUAGGUGUAGGGCUCGCAAGGGUUCUGUGCCGUAGGGAAACCAUUAAAUGCCCCGCCUGGGGAGUACGGCCGCAAGGUUGAAACUCAAGGAAUUGACGGGGGCCCGCACAAGCGGUGGAGCAUGUGGUUUAAUUCG
RNAcentral lists this ribosomal RNA (843 nucleotides) under uncultured bacterium. RNAcentral's name for it is "bacterial SSU rRNA". It matches the Rfam family "Bacterial small subunit ribosomal RNA", at positions 96 to 953 of the family's 1533-position model. The record is from RNAcentral.